GCCUCUGACUAGUCCAAACCUCAUCUCCAAGAUUCACAAUCACUCAACCAAAACAUUUGCAAGAGCCAGUAGAGGUGAUUGAAAACUAUUUUUGGCACAAUAGCUGGCGUACCGUAAGGGAACUCUGAAAAAGAAAGAAAAACAAGCACGACAAAGCAGAGAUUUAACCUCGUACCUCUUGCAUCAUGGUUUAGCAAGAAGCCACCAACAAGCAGAACCGCAGUUGGCCUUCCCGAAAUCAAGUGAGCUACUUCUAAGCAGCCAACCGGGCCCACCCCCCUCUGUAGCAAAAGAGCGGGACGACUUGGAAGUAGGGGUGAAACGCCAAUCGAACUUGACGAUAGCUGGUUGUUCAAAAAGGGAUCUAAGUCCCCCUUUGGGCAUUCUAUCCUAAACAAAGAUCUAACCGAAGGUAGUCUUUAGGGGGUCAGCUCUAAAGAUGUGGGGUACAACCCCCUGCUGAGAGAAGAAUCAACCUAAAAAUCCGUAGGCUUCAAAGCAGCCACCAGUAAAAAUAGCGUCUAAGCAGAAUUUUAAAAAAUACCACCACCUCUAGUUUUCUCCAGCAAGCUAAAAGAACAAUCCUAUUAACAUAGGAACUCCUAUGCUAAAACUACUAAUACGGAUCCUCCUCCUAGCACAUCUUUUUCUCAUCCAUUUGACAAUUAACAGACCAAAAAAGGAAAGAAACACGCUCUUCACUAUUCUAACCUCACUGUAAGUCCAACUCUGAUGUGCAAAAUUAAGGUCGAAAGUCUUAAAAGGAACUCGGCAAACACGAACCCCAACUGUUUACCAAAAACAUAGCCUUUAGCUAUACAAGUAUUAAAGGUACUGCCUGCCCAGUGAAUUUUUUAACGGCCGCGGUAUCCUAACCGUGCAAAGGUAGCGAAAUCAUUUGUCUACUAAUUAUAGACCAGUAUGAAGGGCCACAUGAGGGUUUAACUGUCUCCUAAGACCAACCUAUAAAACUGAUCUCCUAGUUCAAAAGCUAGGAUAAUACUAUAAGACGAGAAGACCCUGUGAAGCUUAAAAAAGCCUAUUAAAACAACUAAUAGGUACUUUUAGUUGGGGCAACUUUGGAAGACAAACUAACCUCCAAACAAUCUAAAAGACUGACAAGUCAAAAAAUGACCCAGUAUAACUGAAAAAUGGACCAAGUUACUCCAGGGAUAACAGCGCAAUCUUCUUCAAGAGCCCAUAUCUAAAAGAAGGUUUACGACCUCGAUGUUGGAUCAGGACACCCAAGCGGCGCAGCAGCUGCUAAAGGUUCGUUUGUUCAACGAUUAAAGUCCUACGUGAUCUGAGUUCAGACCGGAGAAAUCCAGGUCGGUUUCUAUCUAUAAACUGACCUUUCCAGUACGAAAGGGCCGAAAGGUUAGAGCCAAUGCAAAAUGUACGCUCUAAAAACCAGGGGAAAAAAAAUAACCCCCGAAUAGAGUAAUAAAAACCCCCAGACAAGGGGUUU
RNAcentral lists this ribosomal RNA (1468 nucleotides) under Anilios australis (Southern blind snake). Its description in RNAcentral is "16S ribosomal RNA". It matches the Rfam family "Bacterial large subunit ribosomal RNA", at positions 256 to 2854 of the family's 2925-position model. The record is from RNAcentral. Lineage: Eukaryota; Metazoa; Chordata; Lepidosauria; Squamata; Typhlopidae.